Caenorhabditis elegans is the source of this 21-nucleotide non-coding RNA. The record is from Ensembl. Lineage: Eukaryota; Metazoa; Nematoda; Chromadorea; Rhabditida; Rhabditidae.
UUGAAUAUGGAAGCUCAUUUU